RNAcentral lists this ribosomal RNA (541 nucleotides) under uncultured bacterium. Its description in RNAcentral is "bacterial SSU rRNA". It matches the Rfam family "Bacterial small subunit ribosomal RNA", at positions 775 to 1317 of the family's 1533-position model. The record is from RNAcentral.
AGUCAAUAGAUACCCAGGUAGUCCAUGCCGUAAACGAUGAUUGCUAGGUGUGGGGGGUCUGACCCCUUCCGUGCCGGAGUUAAACACAAUAAGCAAUCCACCUGGGGAGUACGGCCGCAAGGUUGAAACUCAAAGGAAUUGACGGGGGCCCGCACAAGCAGUGGAGUAUGUGGUUUAAAUUCGAAGCAACGCGAAGAACCUUACCAGGUCUUGACAUCCACCGAAUCCUGUAGAGAUACGGGAGUGCCCUUCGGGGAACGGUGAGACAGGUGGUGCAUGGUUGUCGUCAGCUCGCGUCGUGAGAUGUUGGGUUAAGUCCCGCAACGAGCGCAACCCUUGUGAAUAGUUGCUACGAAAGAGCACUCUAUUCAGACCGCCGUUGACAAAACGGAGGAAGGUGGGGAUGACGUCAAAUCAUCAUGCCCCUUAUGACCUGGGCUACACACGUACUACAAUGGCCGUUAUCAGAGGGAUGCAAUGCCGCGAGGUGAGCGAACCCCUAAAAACGGUCUCAGUUCAGAUUGCAGGCUGAAACUCGCCU